RNAcentral lists this ribosomal RNA (254 nucleotides) under uncultured bacterium. RNAcentral's name for it is "partial 16S ribosomal RNA". It matches the Rfam family "Bacterial small subunit ribosomal RNA", at positions 524 to 776 of the family's 1533-position model. The record is from RNAcentral.
UACGUAGGGUCCGAGCGUUGUCCGGAAUUACUGGGCGUAAAGAGCUCGUAGGUGGUUUGUCGCGUUGUUCGUGAAAACUCACAGCUCAACUCUGGGCUUGCGGUCGAUACGGGCAUCACUGGAGUUCGGCAGGGGAGACUGGAAUUCCUGGUGUAGCGGUGAAAUGCGCAGAUAUCAGGAGGAACACCGGUGGCGAAGGCGGGUCUCUGGGCCGAUACUGACGCUGAGGAGCGAAAGCGUGGGGAGCGAACAGG